UUGCUUCUGCAGCACACAAAGUAAAAUGGGAAUGAACAGAGAAGAUUGACUUGGUCGCUGUGCAAGGAUGACAUACAAAUUUCUUAAGUAUUUAAUAUUUUA
Molecule: small nuclear RNA, 102 nt
Organism: Myodes glareolus (Bank vole)
Lineage: Eukaryota; Metazoa; Chordata; Mammalia; Rodentia; Cricetidae
Source: RefSeq, a predicted model, not a curated record